Molecule: ribosomal RNA, 465 nt
Filed under: uncultured bacterium
Lineage: Bacteria
Description: partial 16S ribosomal RNA
Rfam family: Bacterial small subunit ribosomal RNA
Source: RNAcentral
GACGAACGCUGGCGGCGUGCUUAACACAUGCAAGUCGAACGGAAAGGCCCUGCUUGCAGGGUCCUCGAGUGGCGAACGGGUGAGUAACACGUGGGUGAUCUGCCCUGCACUUCGGGAUAAGCCUGGGAAACUGGGUCUAAUACCGGAUAGGAGCCAUUUUUAGUGUGAUGGUUGGAAAGUUUUUUCGGUGUUGGAUGAGCUCGCGGCCUAUCAGCUUGUUGGUGGGGUAAUGGCCUACCAAGGCGGCGACGGGUAGCCGGCCUGAGAGGGUGGACGGCCACAUUGGGACUGAGAUACGGCCCAGACGCCUACGGGAGGCAGCAGUGGGGAAGAUUGCACAAGGGGCGCAAGCCGGAUGCAGCGAGGCCGCGUGGGGGAUGACGGCCUUCGGGUUGUAAACUCCUUUCGCUAGGGACGAAGCUUUUUGUGACGGUACCUAGAUAAGAAGCACCGGCUAACUACGUG